This is a long non-coding RNA of Triticum aestivum (bread wheat), 1009 nucleotides long. RefSeq lists it as uncharacterized. The transcript is spliced from 3 exons. The record is from RefSeq and is a predicted model, not a curated record. Lineage: Eukaryota; Viridiplantae; Streptophyta; Magnoliopsida; Poales; Poaceae.
CGUUGAUUGGAUGGCCAUGGAGUUAGGUCCACUUGAACCUGAGCGGUGGCACUCCUCCAGAAAAGCACUACAGGUCUGAGAGUCUCGUUUUCCUCAAGAACUGGUGAUAUCAUAUCAUAGAAGAAGUUUGAUCCAUCGCCUGACUUGUCUGAUUUUUUUGCCUCAUUCCAGUGAGAGGCAACUCAGAAGACCUGUCCUGACUUCAUCGGGCAUUGAGAUGCAGUCACAUCAGAGUUUUGGCAUUUUUUGUCUUCAAUUUUGUUGUGGUGCUUUAGUCGGAUAGCAGAUUUGUUCUGUAGUCUUCGAUUCUAUUGGUGAUUCUCUUGCCGGGUAGCAGAUUCUGGAAGACAACCUGAUUCAGGUGAGAGGCAACUCAGAAGACCUGUCCUGACUUCAUCGGGCAUUGAGAUGCAGUCACAUCGGAGUUUUGGCAUUUUUUGUCUUCAAUUUUGUUGUGGUGCUUUAGUCAGAUAGCAGAUUUGUUUUGUAGUCUUCGAUUCUGUUGGUGAUUCUCUUGCCGGGUAGCAGAUUCUGGAAGACAACCUGAUUCAGGUGAGAGGCAAUUCAGAAGACCUGUCCUGACAUCAUCGGGCAUUGAGAUGCAGUCACAUCAGAGUUUUGGCAUUUUUUGUCUUCAAUUUUGUUGUGGUGCUUUAGUCAGAUAGCAGAUUUGUUCUGUAGUCUUCGAUUCUGAUGGUGAUGCUCUUGCCGGGUAGCAGAUUCUGGAAGACUUCAAUUUUCUCGAUGGUGCUCUGAUCGGGUAGCAGAUUUAAAGACAUUGAUUUGUCCAGAAUUGGUUGAUUCAACUCUUGGGGUUGGAUGUGGGGCUGGGUGCCUUUCUGAUUUGUUGGCUUGGCCGAUCCAUGUAGAGUUUCUCUUUAUCAAGACUUCAUGUGGAAUUUCCUUUCCUGAAGACUCCAUGUGGAGAGUCCGACUGUAGUUAUCCUUGUUUUUUUCCCUUCCAUGAAGACUCCACGGUUGUAGUUAUCCUUGUUUUCUUUUGGCAUGC